GGUUCAAUGGUCUAGUGGUAUGAUUCGUGCUUCGGGUUCUUCUUUCCCGGUAUCCGUCUACGGAUGCUUCUAUUGUGCGAGGUCCGGGGUUCGAAUCCCCGUUGAACCC
Molecule: non-coding RNA, 109 nt
Organism: Podospora conica
Lineage: Eukaryota; Fungi; Ascomycota; Sordariomycetes; Sordariales; Podosporaceae
Source: the annotation of a GenBank genome assembly